GGAGUGGAGGGGGCGCGGGGCGGGAGCCGCUCCUCAGGCCGGGAUCGCUUCCCGCGGCAUCCCUGAGCAGCCUCCUCAGACCCUGGCUGCUCUUCCCUGUGGGGAUACUCCCGUUCCUCUGGGCAGGCUCCCCUGGGGAGAUUCGAGCCAAAUUUAUUUAAUUCUAGCUGAAAGUGGAGGCGGAAUGUCAAGAUGUGGGGACUGGUCUGGGACAAGCUCCUCCCAUUCCUUGAAGUCUUUUAAGAGCAGUUUUGCCACAGCUUUUGGAGAUCAGGUCUCUGAGAGGUCCUGGAGAUGACAAAAAGAGAACUCUUCAAGCAAUGGAAUUUCUUGAAUGUCACCAAAAGAAGUCAAACCAAGAUGUGGACUGUUCCUGCUUGAUAUGCCAGGAGCGAAGCUAGCUUUCCAUAGUUUCCCAUGCUGCAGUGAGAUAAGGAUUAAAAACUGAGUAUUUAAACAUCUUGUUGUUGAGCUAAGAGUAAAAUAAUGCUGUUCUGAAGAAGCCUAUACAUUAUCCUGAUGUGCAGCAGCUGAAGAUUUAAUCAAGGUUGCUGACUGGGACCUUCUCCCUAAACCGCUAGUCUCCUGUAAGGUAUUUAACACAGUCACUGCAUUCCAGUCAUGGUUUCAAACCUAUCAUCAUUCCUGCUGGUUCUUCUCUGGACACUUUCCAACAGAGCCAAAUUAUUCUUGAAGCAUAGUUCCUGGAACUGGAUAUACAGAUAAGACCUUAGUACCCCUCUGGGAUAUAAGAACUGCUUCUCCCAUAGCCCUGUUGAGAAACUGAGGCAGAGAAAAGCAUGGAGGCUAUCCAAAGAGAAUCUCAGCAGAGCACAAAUUGAAGCAAAUUCCCUGAACUUUCAAGCUUGUGUUUAACCACACAAUUAAUUCGUUAAAUAGAAGCUAGAUGAAAUGUACUAUGACAUUUGGAAACUGGGCUCUCCUGGUACACCAGUCUUUCAUGUCUUUCAAGAAAGUGAAAGAAAAGCAAGUGGAUUAGACUAAAAAGUGUCUCCAGAGGGAAGCAGAGCUAUCACCCAGAGGAGGAAGUUCCCCAGCAUCUAGGAAAUAGGAGAAAGCACAGACCUGCCAGGGCACAGCCGUUUGUAAGGGAGAUGAACUGACUGAUUCUGGGAGUGGGUGAGGAGCCUUUCUGCAUGCUGGCCAUGAAGCACAGGCUAGAUGAGUCUUCCACUUUCCUCAUAAGCUGGUGAAAUGUGGUGGAGUUGAACGUGCAGCUCAGCUGGCCGUCUGGAGCAUGUCAGCUGACAGCUGCAGGACAAAGGGGAGCUGUCUUCUCACCAGUAGCUCAAGGGCACCCACAGGGAGAAGUUAAAAAUUCUCCCUGCUGAAAACUUUGUGCCUGCCCUUCUUUCAAUAAAUCUGCAGCACAGUCGUGAUUUAGUCUUAAUGAGAAGACACCAGUCUAAAAAAAUCCUGCUGUAUUUUAGAAACAAGCCUGUAUACUUUCCCACAAACACUUCUAACAAAACCUCAAUCUUACAGCACAGACCUACACAGGGCUUUUACCUGUAAACUACCACCUUUUGCUAUAUGUAGUGCAAUGCCUCAUUGGAGCCUACAGUUCUGCAGAACUGAGUCUGUUUAUUGCUAAAAACACUAUAGUACACACAUUUGAAGUAUAGUACACACACCAUUUGAAGUAUAUCUCUUCCUCUUUAUCUCUGAAGUUCAUGAGAGUUAAAAUUUUAUAUACAAGGCACGGCUCACUUCUGUCACUGCCCUCAAAACUUUUUUGAGACUGGAAUGUCUCCCUCAGGGAGAAAAGACUUGUUUCUACCUCUAUAAGCAUAGCAGAUAAGAUGAUGUGCCUGUGGGCAGAUUACUUUGCCCCUUUGUUAGAAGUUGUGGGGUUUUUGUUUUGUUUUUCUGUUCAUAAUUAUUUUUA
Vidua macroura (Pin-tailed whydah) is the source of this 1909-nucleotide long non-coding RNA. RefSeq lists it as uncharacterized. Lineage: Eukaryota; Metazoa; Chordata; Aves; Passeriformes; Viduidae. The record is from RefSeq and is a predicted model, not a curated record. The transcript has 6 exons.